CUCAGAGCCCAGCUGCCCCAACCUGCACAACACCCCCGGGGUUGACGCCUAUCAUCAUGCAGAUGCCUCGGAAGGCCGAGUCCUUCUCCUCAUUGUCCCUGAUGUUCCUGAGGGAUGUGCACCUGUGGGGAAGGCCCCACACAGGUGGGCACACACCAAGGCCGGAUGAACUGCUGCAGCAUGGGUGCCACCUCCUGUGGGCACACGUAGCCCAGGCGGCCGAUGGUGAUGGCUGGAAUGGCAGAGGGACUCGUCAGGCGACCUGCAACCCCGAGCGGCCCCGGUACGUGGCAGGGCCUCUAGCACGAGGCACCAGCCCUGCCCCACGGGCCCCAAGAGAAUAGCUCCUGCCAGCUCCCUGGGCCCCCAAGCUUGGCCCGGUCAGGGUCUCCUCCCCACCCCACUUGGGUCUCUCCCAGGUCUCCCCCGAGGCCAACAUCUUUCUUAGGCCUCCUCCCAUAGCCCCAUUCCAGGUCCUUCCAGUCACCCUCCCUGGUUCUUUCCCAAGGCCUCUUGUCAGCUACCCUCCCAGCCAGGAUACCGCACCUCCAGGAGGCGGGCAAGGGGGCGGCAAGGGCCCAGGCCUGGGGCCCACCUGUGUUUUCCAGCAAUGUCUUGGGCGUGUUGGGCCGGUUAAUGAUCUCCACCAGGUUGUUGAGGACCAUCUGCACGUAGGGCUGCAUCUCUGCCCCUGGGGGACAGGCCAGUCAGAGCCCCACACAGCCCACGCCACCCACACUGACCCGAGUUGUAUCCAGACACUGGCCAACCAGUGAGGAAGCAAAAGCAACCUUCUCUGGCUAUCUGCUGCCCAGGCGCCAUGGCCAACCAGAGACAGACCUACACCCUCCCAACACCAGAAGCUUCCCUGGCGUCACUGCUGGACACCAGGGUGAGACCACACCACCCAGCCUCCCUGUGGGGUUAGGCAGAGAGCAGAGAAGCAGUGACAGUCUCCCAGCCAAUCCCAGGGGGUCUUCCAGCCAAUUGCUUGGAGGGGAGGGAGGUGACAAGUAGUCCAAUAAGUACAGGCCUCCUGUCCUGUGCCUCUUUGGAAAAGCCAAUUACAGAUGGCCUUUCAGCCAUGUGUCCCCAUCUCGGAUGAAAAUGCUCAGAGGUGUCCCCUUGUCCCUGGCCAAUCGGAGCCUUCCUCAAGGAGCACCAGGGCCCUCUAGAGGGAACCUGUCAGUUAGAGCCAGACUCCUGGCCCCAGGCUGGGAACAAGCCAAUGGGGAGGGACAGGGCCUGCCCAGCUGUGGGGCACUUACCCAUCUGCAUGCAGAUCUCGCCAAUGGCCCAGGUGGCAUUGUUGCAGACAGAGAUGAACUCGGGGUUCAGGUUGGUGCCCAGGAUGGGCAUGAACUCAGCUGGCAGGGAGAAAGAAGGGUGCUGAGCAGGAGGGCCAGCCAGGGUAAGCUUCUGACACUUGCGAAGCAGGCCCCGUCAGACAGUACGAAUACAUCCCAGUGCGGUCACAGUCCUCCCAGGUCAUCUCUCCAUCACUUGAGGCCAGGGCUGGGGUCAUGGGGUAAGGACGAAAUGGGGGUCGUACCGAUACAGGGCUUGACAUGGAUGAAGCAGGCUUUGGUGAGGUCUCCCAGGAGGGCGAAGGAGCUCUGCCGGACCUCAGGCAUCGAGUCCUGGGGGUUGGAGCAGGGUCAGCGUGGCCGGGCUCCCCUUCCCCCAACCAGCCGGGAUCCCAACUAACCCCUCAGAGCAGGGCAGCUAAGGGAACAGUUCCUGGAGCAUGACCUGACCCUGCCACUUCCCAGUGCCAAGGCUACAGGCCCCAUCUGUACAUCUGGGACUCGGGGCAUGUGAACGAGAAUGCCCAGCUCGGUACCACUACAGAAGAGAGCACUUGGAACUGCUGCCCAUCCUCAAUACGCUGGGGGGUGGGGGCGUCAUAUUGGAGGGGCUUGUGCUUUCACAUUUCCUAUUUUCUACUUUUUAAUUUUCUACAUUGUUAGGUUUUUCAAUGAGAUUUUACAUGUUUUAUUUGAAUCACUUUUAAAAAUAAUUACAAGCUUUUUUUUU
Long non-coding RNA from Orcinus orca (killer whale), 2037 nucleotides. RefSeq lists it as uncharacterized. The transcript has 2 exons. NCBI's taxonomy places the organism in Eukaryota, Metazoa, Chordata, Mammalia, Artiodactyla, Delphinidae. The record is from RefSeq and is a predicted model, not a curated record.